AAUUUUGGACAAUGGGCGCAAGCCUGAUCCAGCCAUGCCGCGUGAGUGAAGAAGGCCUUCGGGUUGUAAAGCUCUUUCGGACGGAAAGAAAUCGCGCAGGCUAAUACCCUGCGCGGAUGACGGUACCGUCAUAAGAAGCACCGGCUAACUACGUGCCAGCCGCCGCGGUAAUACGUAGGGUGCAAGCGUUAAUCGGAAUUACUGGGCGUAAAGCGUGCGCAGGCGGUUUUGUAAGACAGUGGUGAAAUCCCCGGGCUCAACCUGGGAACUGCCAUUGUGACUGCAAGGCUGGAGUGCGGCAGAGGGGGAUGGAAUUCCGCGUGUAGCAGUGAAAUGCGUAGAGAUGUGGAGGAACACCGAUGGCGAAGGCAGCCCCCUGGGCCGAUACUGACGCUCAUGCACGAAAGCGUGGGUAGCAAACAGG
Molecule: ribosomal RNA, 424 nt
Filed under: uncultured bacterium
Lineage: Bacteria
Description: partial 16S ribosomal RNA
Rfam family: Bacterial small subunit ribosomal RNA
Source: RNAcentral